GGUGUGCAAUCAGGGGUGCUGGGAAGAGAGCAGAGCACCUUCAGGUUUUAGCUUCUCUGAACUGACCAUGGCAGAGUUAAUUGUGUUUUAUUGGAAAUAACAGCUUGUGUUGAGCUUGGAAAAGGAUCUUCUGGGAUUUGUUGUUUUCUGCAUCUCUAAAGUAGGAGCAGUUCCCCAGGAGAGGUUUUUGGGGAGGGCACCCUGUGCCCCUUCUGCAGCUCACCACUUGUAAGGUGAAAGGGACAUCUUUGCUUCAUGGAGUCUACUGGUGGAUAAUACUAAUCCUUGAAGAGCCAAAGGAAUUUGACUUUACAUAGGCACCCUCAGGAAUUGUGAAUUGCUUUUUGGCUCCAGAGGCUGCUCUCCGGGAAGGUGUCAGGGUGUAAGUGUGUGAUCUGGUUUCUAGAUUGGAGCAGCUGUCAUUCUCAGCUGUUCUGAUCCCUCCCUAAAGCCUCUACUAGAACUGGUCAAACAAUUUCCAUCCAAGAGUUGUUGACAGAAAAUGGUUAUUUUGUUGACGUGGAAACUUCCAGGGGAAAUGUCCUGUUUUUGUCAAUCAAUACAUAAAAUCAAUAUUUUGACAAACAA
Molecule: long non-coding RNA, 588 nt
Organism: Mauremys reevesii (Reeves's turtle)
Lineage: Eukaryota; Metazoa; Chordata; Testudines; Geoemydidae
Exons: 4
Source: RefSeq, a predicted model, not a curated record